This 465-nucleotide ribosomal RNA is filed under the name uncultured bacterium. RNAcentral's name for it is "partial 16S ribosomal RNA". It matches the Rfam family "Bacterial small subunit ribosomal RNA", at positions 28 to 507 of the family's 1533-position model. The record is from RNAcentral.
GACGAACGCUGGCGGCGUGCUUAACACAUGCAAGUCGAACGGAAAGGCCCUGCUUGCAGGGUACUCGAGUGGCGAACGGGUGAGUAACACGUGGGUGAUCUGCCCUGCACUUCGGGAUAAGCCUGGGAAACUGGGUCUAAUACCGGAUAGGAGCCAUUUUUAGUGUGAUGGUUGGAAAGUUUUUUCGGUGUAGGAUGAGCUCGCGGCCUAUCAGCUUGUUGGUGGGGUAAUGGCCUACCAAGGCGGGGACGGGUAGCCGGCCUGAGAGGGUGGACGGCCACAUUGGGACUGAGAUACGGCCCAGACUCCUACGGGAGGCAGCAGUGGGGAAUAUUGCACAAUGGGCGCAAGCCUGAUGCAGCGACGCCGCGUGGGGGAUGACGGCCUUCGGGUUGUAAACUCCUUUCGCUAGGGACGAAGCUUUUUGUGACGGUACCUAGAGAAGAAGCACCGGCUAACUACGUG